GCAGCUGCUGAGCUGUGCUGGACCACGUCCUCUGGGCAAAGAGCCAUGAAGACCUGUUGUUGCUGCCCUUUGAGCCCUGAGAUGAUCUCCUCCCUUCCUGGAUAGGUUGGGGAGCCCCACAUGAGACUGGAAACAGGGCUGACCCACGUGCGGAGCCCUCAGUGCAAAGUCCUCUCUGCUCCCCAAGCCUGCAAUCCCAGCCGCAGCCCCGGGGCCUGGAAACUCCGGCCGAUUUAUUAAAGCGUCCUCCCUGUCUGCCACCAUCAGGCUAGAAUUGUUCCGAACAAAAGAAGCAUGAAUUGCUGGAAACUAUAUAUUAAAUGCAAGACUAUUUGUCUAGUUUUCAUUGGGUGCUGAGUGAAGAGCCUCAACUCCUCGUAUUCCCAUGGUACUCAGAUGUCCGCGGAGUCCGCUGCUCCUCACACUGUCAUUUCUCUCACUGGGCACAAUCCGGCUUUAAAGAAUCCGACACUUACUGGUCUUUAUGGAACUGUCAGCAGUGACAGCAACCAGGGACACUGCCAUGUCUUGCUGUUUACAAAGGAUGAGCACAACAAGGCAUCUCGAUGACUUGAUAAGCCCUGAGCUCCUCUCUCCCCAACUCUGGCCUCUCUGGACCAGCGGCCUUUGCAUGGCCAGCUAAAGACACAAGAAUUAAAACUUGAUCCAAACACUAACAAGUCUGCAACCACGGCCAUGAAGAUAAAGUAGGGCUGCUCAAGGUUGCUUGGUAAACAGCGAAAACAGAGAAACAGGAGGAUCCUUAUAUGCACAGGUUGUUGUUGAAUAUGAUUCUCAUCUUGGUCUUUCAUCUCUGGCCAACUUUUGGUGACAAUUCCUAACUUCUGGCAAGUCAGUUCAAUGUAAUAAACAUUUAUGAAAUGCCUGUCUUGUUUGAGGCACUGUGCUGGCCCCAGGACCAUUAUUGGAGUGGUUUAGAAGGAGAUGGCAAUGUCUACAAUAAAGAAUACGGAUCAAAUUGGAACAACUCAUUGUAAUAAAGGGAGGUUUGGUAAAUGAACUAUGAUGAGAACUUGAAGAAAAGAAGGUUGAAGGAGAAGACAGUGAGUGGUGAAAUGACAUUUUAACAGGCUUUGCUGGUAGACGCCAUUUCUUUUUUUCAAAGGACAAGUUUGUUACUCAUUCUUUCUGGAUUCCACCAUGAGAAUCAUAGCCUAUUUUGUUUAUAUUUAGAACCCUGAAACAGUCUGACUCCUCAAAGGAAAAGAAGAAAAGCUAGAUCUGCUCUCCAUCGUUUUUGUAUGCAGGUCUAUUCUAUCCCAAUCUCAAGGUGUUUUGAGGUGUAACCUAAGCCUUACUCAAGAUAGAGUCUUCCGUACCUUCCCCUCCUCUGAUUCUACCGUUGAGGUUGAAGCCAUGUGAAAUCCUUUUUAAUGCAUAUAGGAUUCUCAGAGUUACUCACAACUAGCCUUUUGAGAGGUAGAAGUGUAGCCAAAAUGGAUGCUUGGAUU
This 1472-nucleotide long non-coding RNA is filed under the name Heterocephalus glaber (naked mole-rat). RNAcentral's name for it is "lncRNA (ENSHGLG00000041862.1)". The record is from RNAcentral. Lineage: Eukaryota; Metazoa; Chordata; Mammalia; Rodentia; Bathyergidae.